AAUCCCGGCGGGCAAACCCGGCGAAAGCCGGGGACGCAAAGCUACAGGUCUAAAGUUUCUCAUUGAAGAAACCAUGACGGCUGGGUUGCAAGG
RNAcentral lists this non-coding RNA (93 nucleotides) under Desulfofundulus thermosubterraneus DSM 16057. RNAcentral describes it as "GEMM cis-regulatory element". It matches the Rfam family "c-di-GMP-I riboswitch aptamer". Rfam says of the family: GEMM was predicted in a large-scale screen for bacterial structured RNA regulatory elements. Genes associated with GEMM are involved in a diverse array of functions, including chemotaxis regulation, signal transduction, secretion and chitin. The record is from RNAcentral. Lineage: Bacteria; Bacillati; Bacillota; Clostridia; Eubacteriales; Peptococcaceae.